Molecule: transfer RNA, 68 nt
Filed under: Afrogecko porphyreus
Lineage: Eukaryota; Metazoa; Chordata; Lepidosauria; Squamata; Gekkonidae
Description: tRNA-Trp
Rfam family: tRNA
About the family: Transfer RNA (tRNA) molecules are approximately 80 nucleotides in length.
Source: RNAcentral
AGAAAUUUAGGUUAACUAAACCAAUGGCCUUCAAAGCCUUAAAUACGAGUCAAACCUCUUAAUUUCUG